RNAcentral lists this ribosomal RNA (247 nucleotides) under uncultured bacterium. RNAcentral describes it as "partial 16S ribosomal RNA". It matches the Rfam family "Bacterial small subunit ribosomal RNA", at positions 796 to 1041 of the family's 1533-position model. The record is from RNAcentral.
CACGCCCUAAACGUUGUCCGCUAGCUAUAGGGAGUAUCGACCCUCUCUGUGGCGAAGCUAACGCAUUAAGCGGACCGCCUGGGUAGUACGAGCGCAAGCUUAAAACUCAAAGGAAUAGACGGGGGCUCGCACAAGCGGUGGAUCAUGGGGCUUAAUUCGUCACUAAGCGAGGAACCUUACCAAGGCUAGAAACCAUACUGCAUACUCCGUGAAAGCGGAGUAGCCUUCGAGGGUGUAUGGCAGGUGA